UGAGCAAUCUGCCCUUCACAUCGGAAUAACCAUUGGAAACGAUGACUAAUACCGAAUAUGACUUCGGAUCGCAUGAUCUGAAGUGGAAAGCUCCGGCGGUGAAGGAUGAGCUCGCGGCCUAUCAGCUUGUUGGUGAGGUAAUAGCUCACCAAGGCGAUGACGGGUAGCCGGCCUGAGAGGGUGACCGGCCACACUGGGACUGAGACACGGCAGA
Molecule: ribosomal RNA, 214 nt
Filed under: uncultured bacterium
Lineage: Bacteria
Description: partial 16S ribosomal RNA
Rfam family: Bacterial small subunit ribosomal RNA
Source: RNAcentral